RNAcentral lists this long non-coding RNA (935 nucleotides) under Olea europaea subsp. europaea. Lineage: Eukaryota; Viridiplantae; Streptophyta; Magnoliopsida; Lamiales; Oleaceae. The record is from RNAcentral.
GCGUCCAUGACGAAACUGCUCCAAAAUCUGAUUAUUGGCCCAAAAUCCUCUAUGUUUUUUCUGUCUUCAGUUUUCUGUUCAUGCAAACUUAGUCAUUGACUUUUAGGGCAUCUUUGAUGUAGAUUUUGUGAAAAGUGAUUUUUUUUUUUGGAGAAUUUGUAGCUAAAAAGUAGGAAAAAGUUACGAAUUUACUUGCAAAAUUAUUUUAUUGGGAGGUAUUGCAGUUGGAAAUCAGUUCGAAAAAAUGAGUGUUAUAGAAUUUGUAUCGUACUGGACUUAAUGUUUGCAUGUGCCUUUGUUUUUUGGGUUAUUUUUUUGCUUAAAUUUGGUAGGGAAUAACAGAAUAAACUACCAUCAUUCUUGAAUCAACUCUUCUGAGUUGUGUGUUGGUACACGGAAACAUGAUCAUUGUAAAUAUGUGCAGGACCUGCUCGGAAUUGGAGAGUAUCGGCCUGGGGCAAGCCAUGCUAACCCGUAAACUAUGGUUCAGCCCACUUUUCUUCUGGCAACCUCACCUGCUAGUUUUGAAGGGGAUGCAUACUAAAUUACUCUUUGGUACCGUGAGAGAGAGAGUCAGUGUUCAUUAUUGAUAUAUAGUAACUCCUUUCAUUGGAUCUUCUAUUUCUUGAACUAUCCCAAAUACUUGCUAAUGGUUUCAUAAAAUCCAAUUACAUCUUGUAUCCUCUGAAACAGUUGUUGUAAUUGUACUUGAUUGUAUCAAAUAUUUCAUAUGGUAAAGAUGAAAAGAGUAACUGAAUUUCAAUGCCUUGUCUGGUAAUGGUACAUUGGCAAGGAAAUGUCUGUCACAGCAUUUCUUAAAGUGGUAGAUGACACCACUUCCUUUCGGUUCUUCCCAUGUCCUCUUUGUAUUUUAACUUGUAAGUGAUAAUAACUUUGAUUAGAUAAACACUGUAGAACGGUCAAUUUUUUUCAUG